RNAcentral lists this transfer RNA (73 nucleotides) under Acanthoscelides obtectus. It matches the Rfam family "tRNA". From Rfam's summary of the family: Transfer RNA (tRNA) molecules are approximately 80 nucleotides in length. Their secondary structure includes four short double-helical elements and three loops (D, anti-codon, and T loops). Further hydrogen bonds mediate the characteristic L-shaped molecular structure. tRNAs have two regions of fundamental functional importance: the anti-codon, which is responsible for specific mRNA codon recognition, and the 3' end, to which the tRNAs corresponding amino acid is attached (by aminoacyl-tRNA synthetases). tRNAs cope with the degeneracy of the genetic code in two manners: having more than one tRNA (with a specific anti-codon) for a particular amino acid; and 'wobble' base-pairing, i.e. permitting non-standard base-pairing at the 3rd anti-codon position. Lineage: Eukaryota; Metazoa; Arthropoda; Insecta; Coleoptera; Chrysomelidae. The record is from Rfam by way of RNAcentral.
GGUACUGUAGACUAAUUGGUUAGGUCGGCUCAACGGAAUGGAGGAGAUGCGGGUUCGAAUCCCGCCCAUAUUG